AAUACAUCGAAAAAUGAGUCUUGGAACUUCACCCUCUACACUGAAAUCAGAACUGAUGUCUGGCCUUGUGUCUCUUUGGAGUUGACCCAACUUUCUUGGAGUAAUGCACUUUGUGCUUUCAUCUCCAGUUUUGGAGAAUAUGGAUGAGGAACAACCAUAUGCCCAGCUCGGAGGAUUUCUUGUAAAACUGUUGGAGAACCAGUGUGGCAUAGUACUUUGAGUGUUGGACUACAAUUUUGGAGACCAGGAUUCAGUUUGCAGCUUGAAUGUACACAACGGAUUGAAAAUGUCCAGUUAAACACAUCUCUUUACAUCCAACAGGAAGAAACACAGGUGGCUUUUUGGAAUAGCCAUUAAGUUCCAGGAUGGAGCCCGGGGUUUCAGGGCCCAGAAUUAUGCUGUGCCCAAAACCCUCAGAGCCACCCCAUACAGUCAUUCCAUGCUUCAAGACAAGCAGGCAGGAUUGCAGAAGUGUCUGGCGAUAUCUUCAUAGUCAGACAUGAGAUGAUGAUGUUGAUGCAAGUGUGAGCGUGCAGAGUAAACUCGGAAGCUUGUGUGAAGAUAAACAACGGCAAGCUGCUGGAGCAUGCCAGGAAAACAGCUGCUAGAUGAAAGCACACCGAAGCCUGGCUUAUCUCCGAAGAGGCACUUUGUUUAUUUGUUGCAUAGACACACGUGAGAACAAUUAUCAACACUAUACACCAACUACAACCUCCAACAAACUGUACAAAGGGACAUCUGGGCUUAUAUACACAUUUGCCAUGCGGUGACCUUGCCCAGCCCAUUCCUGAACAAGUUCCUGUGCAUCUUGGAAUACUUCCCCCCUUGCAAAGAUGACACAGUAUAUUUACAUCUUGCUUCUGGCACACAC
Sceloporus undulatus (fence lizard) is the source of this 871-nucleotide long non-coding RNA. RefSeq lists it as uncharacterized. The transcript is spliced from 5 exons. The record is from RefSeq and is a predicted model, not a curated record. NCBI's taxonomy places the organism in Eukaryota, Metazoa, Chordata, Lepidosauria, Squamata, Phrynosomatidae.